This 74-nucleotide transfer RNA is filed under the name Desmophyllum pertusum. Its description in RNAcentral is "tRNA-His". The record is from RNAcentral. Lineage: Eukaryota; Metazoa; Cnidaria; Anthozoa; Scleractinia; Caryophylliidae.
GCACGUGGUGGCCUAAUGGUUAGCGUGUUGGACUAUGGAUCGAGCGGUCCGGGUUCGAGCGCUGGCCUGAGUCA